This is a long non-coding RNA of Passer domesticus (house sparrow), 354 nucleotides long. RefSeq lists it as uncharacterized. The record is from RefSeq and is a predicted model, not a curated record. The transcript has 3 exons. NCBI's taxonomy places the organism in Eukaryota, Metazoa, Chordata, Aves, Passeriformes, Passeridae.
AAAAAACAACAGGCCGUCUCCAGGCAGUAACUUCCUCUCAGGCUUCCAGAAAUAUCUCAGAUACAGAAGACUAAGAGACUUCAGAAACUUUCAGCUGUGACACAGAAGGUUGUGGUAUCCAAAGCAACCUACCAAAUAUUUUUGUCAGCUGAAGAGAAUUCUGUCCCUUCCACUCCAUGUGGAUAUGCUACCUGAAGAAGCUCCUUGGCAGGAGAGAACAAGAGAACAAGCAUGUCUGCUGGUACCAGGUACAGGCUCACUGACCAGAUUACAAAACCACCAGCUUCAGAGGCUGCUGGGGAAAGCAAAACAAUCUUCACAAGAGUCAAAUACACAGAACGAACGACUACAGAG